This 497-nucleotide ribosomal RNA is filed under the name uncultured bacterium. RNAcentral's name for it is "partial 16S ribosomal RNA". It matches the Rfam family "Bacterial small subunit ribosomal RNA", at positions 28 to 507 of the family's 1533-position model. The record is from RNAcentral.
GAUGAACGCUGGCGGCGUGCCUAAUACAUGCAAGUCGAGCGAACAGAUAAGGAGCUUGCUCCUUUGACGUUAGCGGCGGACGGGUGAGUAACACGUGGAUAACCUACCUAUAAGACUGGGAUAACUUCGGGAAACCGGAGCUAAUACCGGAUAACAUAUUGAACCGCAUGGUUCAAUAGUGAAAGGCGGCUUUGCUGUCACUUAUAGAUGGAUCCGCGCCGUAUUAGCUGGUUGGGAAGGUAACGGCUUACCAAGGCAACGAUACGUAGCCGACCUGAGAGGGUGAUAGGCCACACUGGAACUGAGACACGGUCCAGACUCCUACGGGAGGCAGCAGUAGGGAAUCUUCCGCAAUGGGCGAAAGCCUGACGGAGCAACGCCGCGUGAGUGAUGAAGGUCUUCGGAUCGUAAAACUCUGUUAUCAGGGAAGAACAAAUGUGUAAGUAACUGUGCACAUCUUGACGGUACCUGAUCAGAAAGCCACGGCUAACUACGUG